This 366-nucleotide ribosomal RNA is filed under the name Triticum aestivum (bread wheat). RNAcentral's name for it is "partial small subunit ribosomal RNA". Lineage: Eukaryota; Viridiplantae; Streptophyta; Magnoliopsida; Poales; Poaceae. The record is from RNAcentral.
AUGGCUCUCAACAGGAUUCAGAACCAUCAAGUUGUUCAGCUGGUUGAUCCGGAGCUCGGCUACAAUACCGACCCCGAAACAAAGAGGACGAUCGAUCGCGUCGCGGAGGUGGCCUUCCAGUGCUUGCAACUGGAGAGGGAUCUAAGGCCGUCCAUCAAGGAGGUGGUGGAGAUCCUGACUUGCGUCAGGGACGGAGACGGUGGGGAUAAUAGCAUGAAUAAGAAGGCAUCUCAGAAAGAAGACGUGUGCUUGCUCAAGGAUGGCCUGCAGUUCUCGCCCGACACUAUUAUACAUAGAUUCCAUAGCCAAUCAACUAACCACUCGGUAGCAUCGAAUGCUAGCAGAUUAUCUAACAUCAAAUGCUAA